Long non-coding RNA from Cyprinus carpio (common carp), 444 nucleotides. NCBI's taxonomy places the organism in Eukaryota, Metazoa, Chordata, Actinopteri, Cypriniformes, Cyprinidae. The record is from Ensembl.
AUGAUCGAGGAACCUCAGACAGAGCAGAAGAGGAUCACUCCAGUCAGCUGUUCUGCUGAUGGUUCCUCAGUUUAUGCUCAGGGCAGUAUUGCCCCAGAGAGACACGGUCAGUUUGAUGAGCAAACACCCACCAAGCUGGAAGGGGCAUCUCUAGUCAUGAUAAACCUUCAACAGACCUCAGAGCCUAAUGAAGGUGGGGUUCAUGUUAUUCAGAUUGAGAAUAUUGCUUUAAAUGUCACUAGUGUUGCUAACAAUGAUUGGGACAUGACAUCUUCAUGGGGGAAGUCGUGGCCUAACGGUUAGAGUCUUGGACUUGGAAGAUUGUGAGUUUGAGUCUCGGGCCGGCAGGAAUUGUAGGUGGGGGGAGUGAAUGUACAGCGCUCUCUCCACCUUCGAUACCACAACUGAGGUGCCCUUGAGCAAGGCACAGAACCCCCAACUUCU